UACGUAGGGUGCAAGCGUUGUCCGGAAUUAUUGGGCGUAAAGAGCUCGUAGGCGGUUUGUCGCGUCUGCUGUGAAAACUCGGGGCUUAACCCCGGGCCUGCAGUGGGUACGGGCAGACUAGAGUGCGGUAGGGGAGACUGGAAUUCCUGGUGUAGCGGUGAAAUGCGCAGAUAUCAGGAGGAACACCGGUGGCGAAGGCGGGUCUCUGGGCCGUAACUGACGCUGAGGAGCGAAAGCUAGGGGAGCAAACGGG
This 253-nucleotide ribosomal RNA is filed under the name uncultured bacterium. RNAcentral's name for it is "partial 16S ribosomal RNA". It matches the Rfam family "Bacterial small subunit ribosomal RNA", at positions 524 to 776 of the family's 1533-position model. The record is from RNAcentral.